UCCUCUUCCACUAGAGUUCAGUUUUCUUACGAACUCCAAUAAUUUAUUGUCUCGAAAAAAUAGAAGUCGAUCGAGUAUCUUCCCUGCAAAGUAGUGUCAACAAGUGAUGGAUGAGCAAGGUUCUUCCAGAGGUUAAGAUCCUUCACUGGCUAAAUCAUCUCCUUAAAUCUUCCAUGAAGAUGAUAAUCAGAGCUUAGCUCUUUCCUACAUCGGCUCUUCAACACAGGUC
This is a long non-coding RNA of Brassica oleracea var. oleracea, 229 nucleotides long. RefSeq lists it as uncharacterized. The transcript has 3 exons. The record is from RefSeq and is a predicted model, not a curated record. Lineage: Eukaryota; Viridiplantae; Streptophyta; Magnoliopsida; Brassicales; Brassicaceae.